Molecule: long non-coding RNA, 1287 nt
Organism: Amphimedon queenslandica
Lineage: Eukaryota; Metazoa; Porifera; Demospongiae; Haplosclerida; Niphatidae
Exons: 3
Source: RefSeq, a predicted model, not a curated record
GGACAAUAUUGGAACCUUACUACACUUGCCAAAUAAUGUAUUGUGCAUUGGACAGGAAGUAGAUUGUUUACAUAAAUUCACAUAAAGAUAUCAAAGCCACCGCCUGUUGACCCAUUCCACUAUACAUAACAGCACUGGAAGUGAGUGUCAGUUAUUUGGCUCAUAGAUGCAGUAUACAAUUUUGUCAGCCAAAAAAUAAUGAUUAUUAAUACAGAAGUCAUUGCUUUGCACUUUAGCUGUCUUGUCUCAAACCUUUUGUGCUGUUAUGGCCAUACAGCACUCCUUACUGUGCUAUAAUUAGUAUAUCUAUCAGUGCUGCUAUUCCAGUUGCUGUUCUGUAACAUAAUCUGUUCCCAUUCUCUCCUCUCCAUCAGUUCUCUCUUUAUCUCUGACUUGUUAAAUUUCAUCUCUCCAUUACCAUGACAACAUAUGUGAACAGCACACACACUGUUGCUGUAACUAACAGAAGGGUAUGAACAAGAUAAUAAAAGAAAAUUGAACAAUAUCAAUAUUAAUAUCACAGAAUCUUGUAUACAGCAGGAUGAAUGGUGGUGGGUCUACUCCCUGUGUCUCUCCAUGGUGUGGGGAGAAAUGUGAACUACUGAACUGUGAUGAAACUGAUUGCAAUGGAAAUGGAGUUUGUACUAAUGGAUCUUGUAAGUGUAAAGCAGGAUGGUUUGGUAGUCUCUGUGAGAAAUGUUAGUCAUUUUACUCCUCUUUAAAAAUGCUCUAUGAACUAUUUUUAUUUUUCCUAUAGCUUGUCCACAUAUAUGGUCCUGGUUGUGAAUACUCUUGUUAUUGUAAUGAUAAUGGAGUAUGUCAUCAUGUAACUGGAUCAUGUAUAUGUAAUACAGGAUAUACUGGACCACACUGCAUGGAAAGUAAUGCACUUAUAAUAAUAUAAGCACAAUUAUUUUUCAUCUUUUUCUCUUCAUUCAUUCCUCCUAUCAUCCUCUUUCUCUUUUUGUUCCUCUCUCUAGGAAUAUGUGUUUUCUAUUCUAAUCUUCAAUGCAGUAAUGACAUCAUUCCAUGUUGCUUCAGGAGAAACAGAGAGCCAUUUUGAAUACAAUUUUCUGUUUUGAUCAUCCACACUGAAGCUCUCAGCUUCUCAAUUACUGAUACAUCAUGUUGUGUUAUUCCUGGGAGCAGUAGCUAAAUCACAGCCAGUCAACAAGUGGUUCAAGCCAUUAAAUUAAUAAUGAAAUAUCAGAUCCAUCAUCAGUCUUAGGACCAGAGUUGAGUUCAACAUCUCCUGAUAAGAGGAGGAGGAGAAAUAAAACCAAAUAG